UGGGGUAUCGUCUAAUGGUAGGACGACUGUCUCUGGAACAGUUAGUCUAGGUUCGAAUCCUGGUACCCCAG
RNAcentral lists this transfer RNA (71 nucleotides) under Ktedonobacterales bacterium. RNAcentral describes it as "tRNA-Gln". It matches the Rfam family "tRNA". From Rfam's summary of the family: Transfer RNA (tRNA) molecules are approximately 80 nucleotides in length. Their secondary structure includes four short double-helical elements and three loops (D, anti-codon, and T loops). Further hydrogen bonds mediate the characteristic L-shaped molecular structure. tRNAs have two regions of fundamental functional importance: the anti-codon, which is responsible for specific mRNA codon recognition, and the 3' end, to which the tRNAs corresponding amino acid is attached (by aminoacyl-tRNA synthetases). tRNAs cope with the degeneracy of the genetic code in two manners: having more than one tRNA (with a specific anti-codon) for a particular amino acid; and 'wobble' base-pairing, i.e. permitting non-standard base-pairing at the 3rd anti-codon position. The record is from RNAcentral. Lineage: Bacteria; Bacillati; Chloroflexota; Ktedonobacteria; Ktedonobacterales.